AUAACAGUCUUCAUCAAAUACCUACUAACAGGAAAGUCAAGGCAGGAAGUGUUGAUCUGUGGUUAGGCACAUGAGGCCGAGUGUGCAUCUGAGAUAGCGGAAAUAAGUUUAAACAAAGGAAAGUCUAACAGAAUUAAGGGCCUUGCGGUCCUAAAAUUGCAUCAAGCUCAAAGUUUGAUUAGCCUUGUCAGCACCUAAAAUUGUCUUUGAGAUUGCCCAAAGUGUCCCUGGAAAACCAGAGAGAUUUGUCCUUUCACCUUGUAACAGGGGAAAUAAUAUAAAUAAUUAGGUUUAUUUGAUAUGUUACUGAUGAUGAGUUGAAUGGGGAAUAUUGUCAAAUCAGAAGAAAUGCUUAGACUUCCCUAGGUUAAAUUUGUAUGGGUAAAAUGUUAUUAAUAUAAAUAUUUAAACAAUUGUAUUCUGUACGGGAAAGUUCUAUAGAAUUGUCAAAGUGUUUCUUGUUCAUAUGUUUCUGUUUUUCUGAGUCCUUUGCAUAAAAGCAGGAUAGUGCUAUCAGUCAUAAUUUGUUAUUUUUACAACAUUAACUUGGUUGCAAUUUUAUUUCUUUAAUUUGAAUCUAGUAUAUUCCGGGCCAGUAGUUUUCUACUGGGGAUUCACAUCACUUAUCUGUGGAGUUUUAUUAACCUACUGAUGUAUAGAACCUACUCCAAAUUAAUGAAUCUAUUUACUUGAUAAUCUUGAUAUAUUCUUGGUAUAUUCUUUAUCUGUGCUAAGUAUGUAUGGCAUCUAAUGUCUCAGGAUUUUUAUAUGUUAUAUCUGAAAAUGUUUUCUCUGUAAAGAUUAUGCUCAUCCAUUUUCAUAAGUCAGAUGUAACAUCUACUUUUUUUGUAAAUAGGCUUAAAUCUUUGUGUUUGUAGAUAUUUCGUCUAAAAUUUUUUGCAUUGAGCUUAUUUUGCUUUGCAAGCCGUGGAAACCACCAGAUACGCUUGUUAAUUGCAUUAUUCUUGUACUGGACUCUCUUCAGAUCAUUCACUUUUGAAAAAUAUCAAUAAUAAGUAAACAAUAGCCAUUUUUAGUCUUAUGUCAUCUACAGAUAGUUCUGUUCCUGUGUUUUAUUUUACUCCUGAUGCUUCCAUGUAAUCACUUGCAAUCAGUUAUAGGGCAGAGUGCUCCAUCUUCAAGAAAGAAGGACUGUCUUAGAGCCUGGUGAAAAAAGACUAUGCUAGGACACUUGGGUACAGGUUUCUGAAUGACAUUGCUUGAAUAACUGUGAGUUCAUACCAGCAGAUGGAGUUAGAAGUUCCAGCCGUCAAGUGAAGACACAAUGCAUUCAUGAGACUACAGACCCAAGAUCAAGCAGAAGAAGAAUUAAUUAAAAAGGAUGGAAUGAACUGGAUAAAUAUGAACUAUAUUUGGAAUAGUGCUAAUGCUUUAAUGUUCUGUUUUCUGGAUAGAAGGAACCACUUUUUCUUAAGCAAGUUGACAAAUUAGUAGACUGUGCUCUCGUAAACGGAAAUGAAACAUUUAUCUUUUCUACCCUUCCAAAAUUCAGAAACUCUUAUCGAGUAUUCCUGUUUUCAUGGCAAUAUGGUUAUUUGCAUAAAUUCAGUAAGAGUCUAUCCACCUUGUUAAUAGGACUUAAUCGGAAACAUUGAUUGGUUACAGCGGCAACAAAGGCUGGCCUAUAAUGUCAUAUUUGAGAAUGAUGCUCAUUUAAGCAGAUAUGAGCAGACACUUUUGAGGAACUCAGGUUGGCUUGAUGGGGUCGAUGCUUACAACAUGCCCCUGGGGAAAAUUGGCCUGGCAUCUGGCUCUCCAGUGUUCCCAGCCUCAUGGGUGAGUGAGGAAGGUCACUGCCUGGCAGGCUCAGGAAUCUUCGGAUAUUUGGGGGACCUCAGAAAGAGAGGAACUCCUGCCAAUCCAUAGGUACCGCAGGUGACAAAUGAUGGUGAAUUCUUGGCUUGGCUUCCUAUCCUCAAGAGGCUCACAAAAAUCCAAUCUGAGAUGCUUUGUGAAAACUCUCAGCAAAGCAAAGGCAAGAAGACCUAUAUGGUAAAUUGUCAUUCUUGCUGCAUCUAUGUAAAUAACCGGGCCACAUCUAAAGAGGCCAGCCUUAUUUUGCGAUCAAGAAUGAUCUUUGUUUGAGAUUGUCUUUGAUCAGAAGGGCCAGAGGGACUGUAGAGAGAAAUUUUGUGCUUCAUCGGGCAACUAUGCAUGCCCUCUGGGUUAUCAGAUUCUGAUUCCAUUCAUUGUCUUGGAGCUAUUUUGCACCUCUGUGUAAAUUGCAGGUGACUGAUAGACACUCAAACUUUGUCUAGUCUGGUAAGCAAGCUUUCUCUUUCACUGUGCAAAAGCCGGUUUGGUAUUUACCUCCAAACUGGGCUGGAUCCUCUCACCUUGCUAGCCUGUCAACCCUUAGCAGAUUUUCAAGUCUUCCAGUUUCCUUCGAUAUCUGGCUACAAACUCACCUUAGCCUCCAAACAAGUUUUCCAGUUUUUCUCCCUCCUUCUUGACUUGGAGUCACUGAGAACUCAAACCUGAAUGCCCACAUUCUUACUGGGACUCUAGGUUGCCUUGUAGCUGGUCUUUGCCCCCAGGACCUGCAGACGCACUGCAAGUUCAAGCCUGACAGCCUGUUAUUGACCUAGAAGGACUCAUCACCCCAGUUGACCGUUCAUGGUCCAGCUCUUUCCCUGGACAAGCCACUACUUGGACUACCAAGCAAGAUUGGUGAAAUACUCAGAUCAUCCAUGCCCAUAUUGGAGAAGUAAACAGUGUUGUGGACAUCACCAAUACCAAACGACAUCUUAGCUUCAAAAAACUCAUUUUCUUGGAGGUUGCACCAAAAUACUGUUUGCACUGACUGUCACCAUGGACCCAAGUCUUCAACUAGGUGCAGAACCCACUGUGCCUUCCUGCUCACUUCUUGUCAAGUCCACAAUGAUGUGAGAGAGCAUUCUUUUGUGUAUUUCACCUGCUGGUGGAUGCAGAAUGUUGUGUCUGCAUUUGGAGUUGGCCAACCAUCAAUCUGGGGAUCUGACAUAUGAGAUGCACAAGUAUUUCAUUACUACCCACCCUUGUCAACUCUCAUGGGCUCAUCUGAAUAUAAAUUUUAUCCUUUUCCAGGUUCCUUAAGAAAGAAAGAGGGUAACAUCAGCAACAUGGAGGAGUGAACUUGCCUAGGACUCUCUCUUCUCCAACAUACAACAAAAAGGGGCAAACAUACUCCAACAGAGGACAUCCUAACAACACCAAAAUGUUGGAGAGACAGGUGGCCACAUGAUGGAGGCCAGAGAGGCUGGAGUCCCCCUCAGAGGAGCUGAAACGGGAUCUCCAUGUGUGCCUACUGAGUACUACUUCCUUUGUGAUCAGGAUGCCUGGUUCUGUUUGCUUCAGACUCUGCCAAAUGCAUUCCUGUUUAACAUGCCUGGACUUCAAGACCCUAAAACAAUGGAACUUUGCUAUAACCUCUCAACAGAUACUUCAACUCAUUUUAUAGAAACAACAUCAACAAGAGUCCUAGAAAGACUAUUAGAUCCUGCUUCAUCUCAUGCAGGAGUUUUAUGCUUGUGGUUUAGCAGUUCAGGAACCAAUUCUUAUUGAACAAAAGGAGGGACUGACAAUGUUGAACUUUACCUGAGCUCUGUGUCCCUGAAAAAGAGUUAUGGUUAAGAAAUCUCACAUUCUUUGUGUUUCAAAAAACGACUUACUGAAAAGAGCCAUUCUUCUCUGUAAAAUUUAGGUAAGACUCGCAGUUCACUCUUUCUCAUGACUCCAAAAAGACUCUCGUGUCUGGGUAUCUAUGGACAAUUGAUUUUUGACAAGGAUGUCAAGACCACUUAAUGAGGAAAGAAUAUUCUUUUAAACAAAUGGUUCUGGGCCAACUGGAUAUAGUCACAUGCAAAAAAAUGAAGUUGGGUACUUACUUCACACUAUAUAAAAAAUGAACUCAAAAUGAAUCAUAAACGUAAAGUAAGAGUGAAAGUUAUAAAAUUCUUAGAAGAAAACAUAGGGAUAAAUCUUUAUGACCUCAGAUAUGGCAAUGGCUCUUUAAAUAUG
Equus caballus (horse) is the source of this 4020-nucleotide non-coding RNA. Lineage: Eukaryota; Metazoa; Chordata; Mammalia; Perissodactyla; Equidae. The record is from RefSeq and is a predicted model, not a curated record.